Molecule: ribosomal RNA, 254 nt
Filed under: uncultured bacterium
Lineage: Bacteria
Description: partial 16S ribosomal RNA
Rfam family: Bacterial small subunit ribosomal RNA
Source: RNAcentral
UACGGGGGGAGCAAGCGUUGUUCGGAUUUACUGGGCGUAAAGGGCGCGUAGGCGGUCAGCACAAGUCAGUUGUGAAAUCUCCGGGCUUAACUCGGAAAGGUCAACUGAUACUGUGCGACUAGAGUGCAGAAGGGGCAACUGGAAUUCUCGGUGUAGCGGUGAAAUGCGUAGAUAUCGAGAGGAACACCUGCGGCGAAGGCGGGUUGCUGGGCUGACACUGACGUUGAUGCGCGAAAGCCAGGGGAGCGAACGGG